Molecule: ribosomal RNA, 196 nt
Filed under: uncultured bacterium
Lineage: Bacteria
Description: partial 16S ribosomal RNA
Rfam family: Bacterial small subunit ribosomal RNA
Source: RNAcentral
CUGCAACUCGCCUACAUGAAGUCGGAAUCGCUAGUAAUCGCGGAUCAGCAUGCCGCGGUGAAUACGUUCCCGGGCCUUGUACACACCGCCCGUCACACCAUGAGAGUUUGUAACACCCAAAGCCGGUGGGGUAACCUUUUGGAGCCAGCCGUCUAAGGUGGGACAGAUGAUUGGGGUGAAGUCGUAACAAGGUACC